RNAcentral lists this ribosomal RNA (477 nucleotides) under uncultured Bacillus sp. Its description in RNAcentral is "bacterial SSU rRNA". It matches the Rfam family "Bacterial small subunit ribosomal RNA", at positions 327 to 795 of the family's 1533-position model. Lineage: Bacteria; Bacillati; Bacillota; Bacilli; Caryophanales; Bacillaceae. The record is from RNAcentral.
UAGUGAUUACUCCUACGGGAGGCAGCAGUAGGGAAUCUUCCGCAAUGGACGAAAGUCUGACGGAGCAACGCCGCGUGAGUGAUGAAGGCUUUCGGGUCGUAAAACUCUGUUGUUAGGGAAGAACAAGUGCUAGUUGAAUAAGCUGGCACCUUGACGGUACCUAACCAGAAAGCCACGGCUAACUACGUGCCAGCAGCCGCGGUAAUACGUAGGUGGCAAGCGUUAUCCGGAAUUAUUGGGCGUAAAGCGCGCGCAGGUGGUUUCUUAAGUCUGAUGUGAAAGCCCACGGCUCAACCGUGGAGGGUCAUUGGAAACUGGGAGAUUUGAGUGCAGAAGAGGAAAGUGGAAUUCCAUGUGUAGCGGUGAAAUGCGUAGAGAUAUGGAGGAACACCAGUGGCGAAGGCGACUUUCUGGUCUGUAACUGACACUGAGGCGCGAAAGCGUGGGGAGCAAACAGGAUUAGAUACCCUGGUAGUC